UGUUACUCAUAUAUGAAGCUUUAUCUUGGAGAUAAUUGAACCUUUUCUCGAUAUCGAUUAAUAGAUAUUGAUAACUUUAAACAAGAUUCGUUCACAAACUUUAUGAUUCGUUAAAAUAUUUUUUUUUUAUUUCAAAUUGAGAAUUGUGGAUUCAAAUUGCAGUUAAUGCACGCAUCACAGGAGACACAUACUGACAAGGGACUAAAUCACGUGUGUGUGUGAGUUGAUGUUGAUCCCUCAGUUUCUUACCUAGAAAGUCUCAUUAAUAGAUUCAUGAGAUGUGACAUCAAUAAGGUACUGUUUCCUUCAAUUAUUGAUCUGAAAAGAAAAGUUGAUUGUCAUGGUAUCUUAUUUCUUUUUUUUUUGUAUUAUGAUAUUAAACGAUGUCUUUGGGCAGACAACUAGAAGUAAUUAAUUUCAAUCUAGUUUAGAUCCUUCAAACAAGUGAAAUUACAUUGUAUGUGUAUUGAGCGUUUCCGAUGUAGAUAAAUCUGGGAAAGCGCUUUGACACACGGAAAUAUAACUGCUUCUCCAGUUUACAAGCACUAGCAUGACUAGGGCGAUAUAGGUCAUCAGCUCAUUUUUCAGUGACAUGAUUAAGAACAAUUUUUUUCUUAAAUUCUCCGUGGAUAAAAUAUUCAAUUAUAAAAAUAAUAAGAUUCCAUCUACCUCAGACUCGGUUUACCGAAGACAGAUAUAUAAAGUGUUACUUUUAUUUAUAUCUUCAUAUCUCAUACAGUUUUGAUUUUACUUUGCUGAUUGUUGACAGAUCUAUUUUUCAGAUGGUUUGGUGUGUCCAUACUGCCAACAGAAAUGCUUCUGCAAAUGUGCUUGCAGUUUCUGCGUUUAUAAAAUUUGUACCAAACCGAAGCGCAAGGAAUGCGGCUGUACGUGAUUGAAAGAGUGAAGAAAUUCUGAAAGUAAACAUAAUUUUGUGAUAUCGAAAAUCUAAACAAUGCUAACACUAUAUCUUGUAUACGGAAUUGUUUCAUGUUUGACAUUCUUCAUAAUUAUAUUAAUAUAUUUUGUCUGUUAACUUCAAAUUUCUGUAUCGAGUAAUUGUAACUUUAUGUACGACUCAUUUUAUAUGAAAUCCUAUAUGUCGGCCAUUAUAAGCUUCAUUAUGGGCCUGCACUAAGCCGGUCCAUCAUAUGAUAUGGGUUUGAGAUUGUUUCAUGAGUUUCUGCG
Molecule: long non-coding RNA, 1188 nt
Filed under: Mytilus galloprovincialis (Mediterranean mussel)
Lineage: Eukaryota; Metazoa; Mollusca; Bivalvia; Mytilida; Mytilidae
Source: RNAcentral